AUGGUAACUUAGAUUAUAAAAAAGCACAAAUCCAGUACAGCACACAAGAUUUGACUAAUGGCAGUGACACUACAUCAACAGACUCAACACUGACUAUUACAACAUAUUGAUGGUGGCCGGGAAGGAAAUAAUAGACACAGCCCUCCAAUCCUACAAAAAUCUCUUGAACAGAACAUCUAAACUAUAAACUCUAGUUCAACACCCUCAUAUAGUUUACUAUUUCAUUCUCUCCAAAUGCACCACUUUAGGCUUAAUGGCAAAACUUGACUUUGUCACUUUAUAGAACUUCCUUGUACUGGUAAGGAAGCAACAAACUUUGGAAUCACCUAUGGCACUCCCAGUAACGAAAAAGUUAGUACCCAUACUUCCCUCACUCUAACAAAAUGAAGUAG
This 392-nucleotide unclassified non-coding RNA is filed under the name Hevea brasiliensis (rubber tree). The record is from RNAcentral. Lineage: Eukaryota; Viridiplantae; Streptophyta; Magnoliopsida; Malpighiales; Euphorbiaceae.